This 462-nucleotide ribosomal RNA is filed under the name uncultured bacterium. RNAcentral describes it as "bacterial SSU rRNA". It matches the Rfam family "Bacterial small subunit ribosomal RNA", at positions 28 to 474 of the family's 1533-position model. The record is from RNAcentral.
GACGAACGCNGGCGGCGUGCCUAAUACAUGCAAGUAGAACGCUGAAGGAGGAGCUUGCUUCUCUGGAUGAGUUGCGAACGGGUGAGUAACGCGUAGGUAACCUGCCUGGUAGCGGGGGAUAACUAUUGGAAACGAUAGCUAAUACCGCAUAAUAGCAGUUAUUGCAUGAUAACUGUUUGAAAGGUGCAAUUGCACCACUACCAGAUGGACCUGCGUUGUAUUAGCUAGUUGGUGGGGUAACGGCUCACCAAGGCGACGAUACAUAGCCGACCUGAGAGGGUGAUCGGCCACACUGGGACUGAGACACGGCCCAGACUCCUACGGGAGGCAGCAGUAGGGAAUCUUCGGCAAUGGACGGAAGUCUGACCGAGCAACGCCGCGUGAGUGAAGAAGGUUUUCGGAUCGUAAAGCUCUGUUGUAAGAGAAGAACGAGUGUGAGAGUGGAAAGUUCACACUGNGACG